RNAcentral lists this ribosomal RNA (166 nucleotides) under uncultured bacterium. RNAcentral's name for it is "partial 16S ribosomal RNA". It matches the Rfam family "Bacterial small subunit ribosomal RNA", at positions 1322 to 1500 of the family's 1533-position model. The record is from RNAcentral.
GAAGCUGGAAUUGCUAGUAAUCAUAGGUCAGCAUACUAUGGUGAAUACGUUCCCGGGCCUUGUACACACCGCCCGUCACACCAUGAGAGUUGAGAAUACCCGAAGUCCAUGGUCAAAGUGGCCGAAGGUAGGCUUGAUGAUUGGGGUGAAGUCGUAACAAGGUACC